Molecule: unclassified non-coding RNA, 529 nt
Filed under: Hevea brasiliensis (rubber tree)
Lineage: Eukaryota; Viridiplantae; Streptophyta; Magnoliopsida; Malpighiales; Euphorbiaceae
Source: RNAcentral
GCUCUUUCUUUUCUCUCUUGUCUUCCCAUUCCAGCUUCAUUUCAAUUUUCACCUGCAGAGUUGCGAUCUUCCUCCCUCUCGGCUUCAUCAAUGAAGGGGGCCUCUGAUCCUUCUCUGGUUCGCCUCAACAUUGGUGGGAAGAAAUUUAGAACAACAUUAGAUACAUUGACUCAACGAGAACCUGAUUCAAUGCUAGCUGCAAUGUUUAGUGGGCGUCAUACCUUAUGCCAGGAUCCUGAGGAGGGAUCUGUCUUUUUGGAUAGGGAUGGGAAACAUUUUCGACACAUUCUUAAUUGGUUAAGGGAUGGGACAGUUCCAAUACUUUCCGACUCUGACACUGUAGAGCUUCUGCGAGAGGCAGAAUACUAUCAGUUGCUUGGACUCAUCGAUGGAAUCAAUGAUGUAUUAAGUAAAAAGAAGGAAGAUGAGGAACCAGAGCUGAAGCGUGUUGAUAUUAUCAAGUGCAUACAGUCUGAGAAAGUUCGAUUGCGAGGGGUUAAUCUUUGUGGCCUUGAUCUUUCCAAGCUGG